UCCCGCCCCCGGCGAAGGGGGGUCCGGGCUGCUCUCGGGGACGGCGGCCGGCAGGGAUCGUGAUUGUUCGCGGGCCCGCUUCGCUGAUUGGGGGAUGGCGCCUGCAGGGGCCUUGGGACACCCCCGCGAGCUCCCCUGGCUCGGUGCUAACCGGUUAUUUCCUCCUGUUCCUGCAGCUCCGCAAGCAGCGCGCUCCUGGCCCACGAGCUUUGCAAGCAGCGCAUGCCUGCCCACAAGCUUCAGAUGCUAUGUUGCAUCAGUUGAAAAGGUAAAAUGAAGAAGCGGCUGGAUAACAGGGCUCACUCUUUCAGGUUUUAUAUUUGAGUUCUCUUUUGGAUCCAUUUUCCAGCAGGGUCCCUGCAUUUCCUCUUCACAUUCCUGCCCUGGUCUCCUGUUUUUUUGAGUGGAUAGUAUCUUUUAUUCCCUUUUCUAUUUCAAUUGUAAUUUCUCAAUCUAUUAAAUGAAAUCUGAGUUUAAUACAAAGUAUGUUAAGCCCUAAAUUUAAAAUAAUCUCAAACAUUUUAAUAAAUGUACUGAAUCCAUAAGUUUCUGUCA
Molecule: long non-coding RNA, 555 nt
Filed under: Chelonoidis abingdonii (Abingdon island giant tortoise)
Lineage: Eukaryota; Metazoa; Chordata; Testudines; Testudinidae
Description: lncRNA (ENSCABG00000009804.1)
Source: RNAcentral